UCAGAACUUGGACUCGAGUCAGGAGGAGUAGUUUAGUGCCACUCCUCCACACCCAGGCCACCUCGGGCCAGAAUUGCUUCGUGAAAGGUUUUAGAAAGAAUGUAUCUCAAACAACUCUCAAGAAAUUCCUCAGUAUCUAGACAGAGCAGACCACUUGACCAGCAUCCCAGCCAGGAAUCAAUAGAAGGAAAUAUGUCUAAACUGUUUCCCAUGAGGAGGUAUAGUCAUCAACGGUGACCGACUCAAUAUUGAC
This is a non-coding RNA of Chiloscyllium plagiosum (whitespotted bambooshark), 253 nucleotides long. Lineage: Eukaryota; Metazoa; Chordata; Chondrichthyes; Orectolobiformes; Hemiscylliidae. The record is from RefSeq and is a predicted model, not a curated record.